This 53-nucleotide ribosomal RNA is filed under the name Amanita pakistanica. RNAcentral describes it as "partial 5.8S ribosomal RNA". It matches the Rfam family "5.8S ribosomal RNA", at positions 1 to 51 of the family's 154-position model. Rfam says of the family: 5.8S ribosomal RNA (5.8S rRNA) is a component of the large subunit of the eukaryotic ribosome. The record is from RNAcentral. Lineage: Eukaryota; Fungi; Basidiomycota; Agaricomycetes; Agaricales; Amanitaceae.
ACAACUUUCAACAACGGAUCUCUUGGCUCUCGCAUCGAUGAAGAACGCAGCGA